Molecule: ribosomal RNA, 274 nt
Filed under: uncultured bacterium
Lineage: Bacteria
Description: partial 16S ribosomal RNA
Rfam family: Bacterial small subunit ribosomal RNA
Source: RNAcentral
AUACGGAGGGUGCAAGCGUUAAUCGGAAUUACUGGGCGUAAAGCGCGCGUAGGCGGCUUGAUAAGUCGGAUGUGAAAGCCCCAGGCUCAACCUGGGAACUGCAUUCGAUACUGUCAGACUAGAGUAUGGUAGAGGGAAGUGGAAUUCCAGGUGUAGCGGUGAAAUGCGUAGAUAUCUGGAGGAACAUCAGUGGCGAAGGCGACUUCCUGGACCAAUACUGACGCUGAGGUGCGAAAGCGUGGGGAGCAAGCAGGAUUAGAAACCCCAGUAGUCC